UGGGGAAUCUUGGACAAUGGGCGCAAGCCUGAUCCAGCAAUGCCGCGUGGGUGAAGAAGGCCUUCGGGUUGUAAAGCCCUUUUGUACGGGAGCAAAUCCUGCCUGUUAAUACCGGGCGGGGAUGAGAGUACCGUAAGAAUCAGCACCGGCUAACUACGUGCCAGCAGCCGCGGUAAUACGUAGGGUGCAAGCGUUAAUCGGAAUUACUGGGCGUAAAGCGUGCGCAGGUGGUUAUACAAGACCGACGUGAAAGCCCCGGGCUCAACCUGGGAAUGGCGUUGGUGACUGUAUGGCUAGAGUGUGGCAGAGGGGGGUGGAAUUCCACGUGUAGCAGUGAAAUGCGUAGAGAUGUGGAGGAACACCGAUGGCGAAGGCAGCCCCCUGGGCUAACACUGACACU
Molecule: ribosomal RNA, 400 nt
Filed under: uncultured bacterium
Lineage: Bacteria
Description: bacterial SSU rRNA
Rfam family: Bacterial small subunit ribosomal RNA
Source: RNAcentral